GACGAACGCUGGCGGCGUGCUUAACACAUGCAAGUCGAACGAAGCCUGAUUACGGAUUCUUCGGAUGAAGUAUGAUAUGACUGAGUGGCGGACGGGGGAGUAACGCGUGCGUAACCUGCCCUUCAGAGGGGGAUAGCGUUUGGAAACGAACGGUAAUAACGCAUAAUGUAAUUUGACCGCAUGAUCGACAUACCAAAGAUUUAUCGCGGAAGGAUGGACUCGCGUCUGAGUAGGUAGUUGGUGGGGUAACGGCCGACCAAGCGGACGAUCAGAAACCGUACUGCUGGGGCGCGCGGCCAACUCGGGAGUGAGGCACGGGCCAGAAUCCUACGGGAGGGGGCAGAAGGGAAUAUUGCACAAAGGGCGCGAGCCUAAUGCAGCAACGCCGCGUGAAGGAAUACUGUUGUCGGAGUAAAAACUUCUGUUCUUAGGGAAGAAUAAUGACGGUAGCUAAGGAGCAAGCCACGGCUAACUACGUG
This 479-nucleotide ribosomal RNA is filed under the name uncultured bacterium. Its description in RNAcentral is "partial 16S ribosomal RNA". It matches the Rfam family "Bacterial small subunit ribosomal RNA", at positions 28 to 507 of the family's 1533-position model. The record is from RNAcentral.